UGCACUGGAGACGGGCGGGCUAGAGUGCGGUAGAGGAUGGCGGAAUUCCCGGUGUAGCAGUGAAGUGCGUAGAGAUCGGGAGGAACAUCCGUGGCGAAGGCGGCCAUCUGGACCAGCACUGACACGGAGGCACGAAAGCGUGGGGAGCAAACAGG
RNAcentral lists this ribosomal RNA (155 nucleotides) under uncultured bacterium. Its description in RNAcentral is "partial 16S ribosomal RNA". It matches the Rfam family "Bacterial small subunit ribosomal RNA", at positions 622 to 776 of the family's 1533-position model. The record is from RNAcentral.